RNAcentral lists this ribosomal RNA (254 nucleotides) under uncultured bacterium. Its description in RNAcentral is "partial 16S ribosomal RNA". It matches the Rfam family "Bacterial small subunit ribosomal RNA", at positions 524 to 776 of the family's 1533-position model. The record is from RNAcentral.
UACGUAGGGCGCGAGCGUUGUCCGGAUUUAUUGGGCGUAAAGAGCUCGUAGGCGGCUUGUCGCGUCGACUGUGAAAACCCGUGGCUCAACCAUGUGGUCUGCAGUCGAUACGGGCAGGCUAGAAUUCGGUAGGGGAGACUGGAAUUCCUGGUGUAGCGGUGAAAUGCGCAGAUAUCAGGAGGAACACCGGUGGCGAAGGCGGGUCUCUGGGCCGAUAUUGACGCUGAGGAGCGAAAGCGUGGGGAGCGAACAGG